RNAcentral lists this ribosomal RNA (301 nucleotides) under uncultured bacterium. RNAcentral's name for it is "partial 16S ribosomal RNA". It matches the Rfam family "Bacterial small subunit ribosomal RNA", at positions 509 to 807 of the family's 1533-position model. The record is from RNAcentral.
CAGCAGCCGCGGUAAUACGUAGGUGGCAAGCGUUAUCCGGAAUUAUUGGGCGUAAAGCGCGCGUAGGCGGUUUUUUAAGUCUGAUGUGAAAGCCCACGGCUCAACCGUGGAGGGUCAUUGGAAACUGGAAAACUUGAGUGCAGAAGAGGAAAGUGGAAUUCCAUGUGUAGCGGUGAAAUGCGCAGAGAUAUGGAGGAACACCAGUGGCGAAGGCGACUUUCUGGUCUGUAACUGACGCUGAUGUGCGAAAGCGUGGGGAUCAAACAGGAUUAGAUACCCCGGUAGUCCCUGUCUCUUAUAC